This 468-nucleotide ribosomal RNA is filed under the name uncultured bacterium. Its description in RNAcentral is "partial 16S ribosomal RNA". It matches the Rfam family "Bacterial small subunit ribosomal RNA", at positions 28 to 507 of the family's 1533-position model. The record is from RNAcentral.
GACGAACGCUGGCGGCGUGCUUAACACAUGCAAGUCGAACGGUGAAGCUCCAGCUUGCUGGAGUGGAUCAGUGGCGAACGGGUGAGUAACACGUGAGCAACCUGCCCCUGACUCUGGAAUAAGCGCUGGAAACGGCGUCUAAUACUGGAUACGAGAAGGGUCCGCAUGGGCACUUUCUGGAAAGUUUUUCGGUUGGGGAUGGGCUCGCGGCCUAUCAGCUUGUUGGUGAGGUAAUGGCUCACCAAGGCGACGACGGGUAGCCGGCCUGAGAGGGCGACCGGCCACACUGGGACUGAGACACGGCCCAGACUCCUACGGGAGGCAGCAGUGGGGAAUAUUGCACAAUGGGCGAAAGCCUGAUGCAGCGACGCCGCGUGAGGGAUGACGGCCUUCGGGUUGUAAACCUCUUUCAGCAGGGAAGAAGCGAAAGUGAAGGUACCUGCAGAAGAAGCACCGGCUAACUACGUG